AUUAAAGUUGUUGCAGUUAAAAAGCUCGUAGUCGAAUCACUGGGCCUCGUGAGCUUGGUCUGCCGGAAGGUGUGUACUGGUUUGCGUGCCCAUAUUGCCACGCAGCAAGGGCUGUCCUUAACUGGAUGGCCUGUCGCUGUGUGGCCGUUUACUUUGAAAAAAUCCGAGUGUUUAAAGCAAGCGUUAUGCAUGAAGAGAUUAGCAUGGGAUAAUGGAAUAGGGCUCUGCUCUAGUUUCGUUGGUUUAAUGGAGCGGUGUAAUGAUAAAUAGAAAUAGUUGGGGGUAUUCAUAUUCAGUUGUCAGAGGUGAAAUUCUUGGAUUUACGGAAGAUGAACUUCUGCGAAAGCAUUUAUCAAGGAUGUUUUCAUUGAUCAAGAACGAAAGUUUGGGGAUCGAAGACGAUCAGAUACCGUCGUAGUCCAAACUAUAAACGAUGCCGACCAGAGAUAGAGAGACGUUGCAUGGAUGACUCCCUCCGCAACUUGAGAGAAAUCAUAAGUCUUUGGGUUCCGGGGGGAGUAUGGUCACGCUGAAACUUAAAGGAAUUGACGGAAGGGCACACCAGGAGUGGAGCCUGCGGCUUAAUUUGACCCAACACGGGGAAACUUACCAAGUCCAGACACAGUAAGGAUUGACAGAUUAAGAGCUCUUUCUUGAUUCUGUGGGUGGUGGUGCAUGGCCGUUCUUAGUUGGUGGAGUGAUUUGUCUGGUUAAUUCCGUUAACGAACGAGAUCUCAACCUAUUAACUAGUGGGAUCCAUCGCCUAACGGGUGAAGCUGGUUAAUACCGUGUCUGGCUUGCCAGAUGCGGUUUAGCCAGUGGAUCCUUGGCGAAUGGGUAAAACUUCUUAGAGGGACUAUUGGGGACUACCCAAUGGAAGUGAGGCAAUAACAGGUCUGUGAUGCCCUUAGAUGUCUUGGGCUGCACGCGCGCUACACUGGCAGGUACGAGAGAGUCUCCUAGGCCUAAAGGUUUGGGGACUCUCUAGUAUCUGCCGUGCUGGGGAUAGAUCAUUGCAAUUAUUGGUCUUCAACGAGGAAUUCCUAGUAAGCGCAAUUCAUCAGAUUGCGCUGAUUACGUCCCUGCCCUUUGUACACACCGCCCGUCGCUCCUACCGAUUGAAUGAUCCGAUGAAAUCUUUGGACCGUGACUGUCACAGUAGCAAUACUGUGCGUUUCGGGAAGCUGAGUAAAUCUUAUCAUUUAGAGGAAGGAGAAGCCGUAACAAGGUCUCCGUAGGUGAACCUGCGGAGG
This 1253-nucleotide ribosomal RNA is filed under the name metagenome. Its description in RNAcentral is "SSU rRNA". It matches the Rfam family "Eukaryotic small subunit ribosomal RNA", at positions 603 to 1823 of the family's 1831-position model. The record is from RNAcentral.